RNAcentral lists this ribosomal RNA (111 nucleotides) under uncultured bacterium. RNAcentral's name for it is "partial 16S ribosomal RNA". It matches the Rfam family "Bacterial small subunit ribosomal RNA", at positions 1373 to 1482 of the family's 1533-position model. The record is from RNAcentral.
CCCGGGCCUUGUACACACCGCCCGUCACACCACGAAAGUCGGUAACACCCGAAGCCAGUGGCCCAACCCUUUGGGAGGGAGCUGUCGAAGGUGGGAUCAGCGAUUGGGGUG